RNAcentral lists this ribosomal RNA (575 nucleotides) under Streptomyces sp. MBT70. RNAcentral's name for it is "bacterial SSU rRNA". It matches the Rfam family "Bacterial small subunit ribosomal RNA", at positions 1 to 591 of the family's 1533-position model. The record is from RNAcentral. Lineage: Bacteria; Bacillati; Actinomycetota; Actinomycetes; Kitasatosporales; Streptomycetaceae.
UUCACGGAGAGUUUGAUCCUGGCUCAGGACGAACGCUGGCGGCGUGCUUAACACAUGCAAGUCGAACGAUGAACCUCCUUCGGGAGGGGAUUAGUGGCGAACGGGUGAGUAACACGUGGGCAAUCUGCCCUUCACUCUGGGACAAGCCCUGGAAACGGGGUCUAAUACCGGAUACGAGCCUCCAAGGCAUCUUGGAGGUUGGAAAGCUCCGGCGGUGAAGGAUGAGCCCGCGGCCUAUCAGCUUGUUGGUGAGGUAACGGCUCACCAAGGCGACGACGGGUAGCCGGCCUGAGAGGGCGACCGGCCACACUGGGACUGAGACACGGCCCAGACUCCUACGGGAGGCAGCAGUGGGGAAUAUUGCACAAUGGGCGAAAGCCUGAUGCAGCGACGCCGCGUGAGGGAUGACGGCCUUCGGGUUGUAAACCUCUUUCAGCAGGGAAGAAGCGAGAGUGACGGUACCUGCAGAAGAAGCGCCGGCUAACUACGUGCCAGCAGCCGCGGUAAUACGUAGGGCGCAAGCGUUGUCCGGAAUUAUUGGGCGUAAAGAGCUCGUAGGCGGCUUGUCACGUCGG